Molecule: ribosomal RNA, 530 nt
Filed under: uncultured bacterium
Lineage: Bacteria
Description: bacterial SSU rRNA
Rfam family: Bacterial small subunit ribosomal RNA
Source: RNAcentral
AGCCUGAUCAGCAUGCCGCGUGCAGGAGAAGGCCUUCGGGUUGUAAACUGCUUUUGUCAGGGAAGAAAUCCUCUGGGCUAAUACCUCGGGGGGAUGACGGUACCUGAAGAAUAAGCACCGGCUAACUACGUGCCAGCAGCCGCGGUAAUACGUAGGGUGCGAGCGUUAAUCGGAAUUACUGGGCGUAAAGCGUGCGCAGGCGGUUGUGCAAGACAGAUGUGAAAUCCCCGGGCUUAACCUGGGAACUGCAUUUGUGACUGCACGGCUAGAGUGCGGCAGAGGGGGAUGGAAUUCCGCGUGUAGCAGUGAAAUGCGUAGAUAUGCGGAGGAACACCGAUGGCGAAGGCAAUCCCCUGGGCCUGCACUGACGCUCAUGCACGAAAGCGUGGGGAGCAAACAGGAUUAGAUACCCUGGUAGUCCACGCCCUAAACGAUGUCAACUGGUUGUUGGACGGCUUGCUGUUCAGUAACGAAGCUAACGCGUGAAGUUGACCGCCUGGGGAGUACGGCCGCAAGGUUGAAACUCAAAG